This 19-nucleotide non-coding RNA is filed under the name Arabidopsis thaliana (thale cress). RNAcentral also lists the same sequence under 2 other names. Lineage: Eukaryota; Viridiplantae; Streptophyta; Magnoliopsida; Brassicales; Brassicaceae. The record is from RNAcentral.
UGGGUGGUGGUGCAUGGCC